RNAcentral lists this ribosomal RNA (254 nucleotides) under uncultured bacterium. Its description in RNAcentral is "partial 16S ribosomal RNA". It matches the Rfam family "Bacterial small subunit ribosomal RNA", at positions 524 to 777 of the family's 1533-position model. The record is from RNAcentral.
UACGAAGGGGGCUAGCGUUGUUCGGAUUUACUGGGCGUAAAGGGAGCGUAGGCGGAUUGAUCAGUCAGGGGUGAAAUCCCAAGGCUCAACCUUGGAACUGCCUUUGAUACUGUCGGUCUUGAGUCCGGGAGAGGUGAGUGGAACUGCGAGUGUAGAGGUGAAAUUCGUAGAUAUUCGCAAGAACACCAGUGGCGAAGGCGGCUCACUGGCCCGGAACUGACGCUGAGGCUCGAAAGCGUGGGGAGCAAACAGGG